GUGUCAGCCGCCGCGGUAAUACGGAGGGUGCAAGCGUUAUCCGGAUUCACUGGGUUUAAAGGGUGCGUAGGAGGGCAGGGAAGUCAGUGGUGAAAUCUCCGGGCUUAACUCGGAAACUGCCGUUGAUACUCUCUGUCUUGAAUCCCGUGGAGGUGAGCGGAAUAUGUCAUGUAGCGGUGAAAUGCUUAGAUAUGACAUAGAACACCAAUUGCGAAGGCAGCUCGCUACACGAAGAUUGACUCUGAGGCACGAAAGCGUGGGGAUCAAACAGGAUUAGAUACCCCGGUAGUCC
RNAcentral lists this ribosomal RNA (292 nucleotides) under uncultured bacterium. RNAcentral's name for it is "partial 16S ribosomal RNA". It matches the Rfam family "Bacterial small subunit ribosomal RNA", at positions 505 to 796 of the family's 1533-position model. The record is from RNAcentral.